Molecule: long non-coding RNA, 1514 nt
Organism: Xenopus laevis (African clawed frog)
Lineage: Eukaryota; Metazoa; Chordata; Amphibia; Anura; Pipidae
Exons: 2
Source: RefSeq, a predicted model, not a curated record
GUGGGGAGCCAGUUAUACAAAAAGGCAGCGUCCAGGCCUUACAGGGGCAUAAAGCGAGAGCCAUGCACUUGGGAACAAGCUGGAGGAGCGCUCCUUGCACUUGGGCAGCAGAGGAUUUUGUGCAGAGCAAAGGAGAUUUAGGUAGAGGGGCACUUACUAAUGGCAGCCAAGGGGAGCAAGCUUAGCCAAUCACAGCAGUUACAGAUAGAUUGUAAAUUACCAGGGCUCCUUGGGUCUCUUUUAACUGGAGCAUGUUCCAGGUCUCUAUUAGGUAAAUUUUAGAAUGCUCAAAAAAUGGAAAUGGAUAAAAAAAGAAUGGUGGUUUAUUCACAAACCAACAUCGCCUGACGCAUUUCGGGAGCAACUCCCUUAAUCAUAGGCCUAAUAAACCACCAUUCUUUUUCUUUAUCCGGAGCGCCCCCUUUUUUGAGCAUAUCUAACUACAGUGGGAACGCCGGUGGCAGAGCAUCCGGAAUACUAAAUGGAGCUGCACUAAGGAGAACACGCAGGGGGUGAGUUUGGAGCUGCCCAAUCCUCAUUACGUUCUAGAAAGACAGGGUAAGAUCUAUGACGGCGUCCAUCUGUCGGCCAAACAAACUCCACGUGAAACAAGACGGCCGUUAUUCAGGUUUGUACAAGAGGAAUGUGGAAGAACAAGAAGAGAGUAUGUCUCAGGGCCUUACAGGCUGCUAUGGCUGGUCAAACGGAACCAAGUCCGUCUUCCUUAGAGGUUUGGUCCCCUUCAACCAGCUAUUGCAGUACUGAGCCUCAACAGCCCCAAGCCUGGAUUCUGCUGCUGUGCAAGCAAAGGAGGAUCCGCAUGGGUGGAGCAAAGGAGAAUCCGCAUGGGUGGAGCAAAGGAGGAUCCGCAUGGGUGGAGCAGUAGCUCUAUGUUGUAGCCCUACCUCAGGGGGACAUUGAUUUAUCUUUCUAUGCUAUGUUUCUACCCAACCAGGAAUUCAUACCUCAAUCUUGCAGGCAGGGUAUUUUAAAGUAAUUUAGCUUGGGCUUGUCUGUUUUUAAAUCUUCCCAAGGGGUGUCACCCUCCUGGCUACUGAUCUGCUCUAAACAAUUCCGUAUUUUGUGCCCUCGAAAGCUGAAUAUUGCACCACAGCAAAACCCUAGGAAUUGCCCCCAUGACCAGUGCCAUAAUGAAUAAUUCUUCUGGAACUUCCCAUUAAAUCAAAAGAAAUACAAUUUAUGAUUUUUUUUCCUGCUUCUAUUACAGUUCCUGGGAUUUUCAGGCUGGGGAUGGUGGGAGUUGUAGUUCCCAACAGCAGGUCAAUAAACAAAAAACAAGUCUGCCAUGAGUUCUAGCUUUAUUAAAGUGGCACUCCUUCCAACAGAACUGCUCUUGGGCAAUUAUUGUAUUUGCAUGAUAUUACCCACAAUUUCUAGGUGCAAAAUUGGGAAUUCUGGUUGAUUUCGGGGGCUAAUGUCGGGUUUAUCCCGGUGGGGAAAGUAUGGGCACAUGCUUGAGAUGUUCAUUCAUAAAAUAAACAAAUGAAAAUGCU